Molecule: ribosomal RNA, 428 nt
Filed under: uncultured Eubacteriales bacterium
Lineage: Bacteria; Bacillati; Bacillota; Clostridia; Eubacteriales
Description: bacterial SSU rRNA
Rfam family: Bacterial small subunit ribosomal RNA
Source: RNAcentral
GUGGGGAAUAUUGGGCAAUGGAGGCAACUCUGACCCAGCAAUGCCGCGUGAGUGAAGAAGGUUUUCGGAUUGUAAAGCUCUUUAAGUGGGGACGAAGAAAGUGACUGUACCCACAGAAUAAGCAUCGGCUAACUACGUGCCAGCAGCCGCGGUAAUACGUAGGAUGCAAGCGUUAUCCGGAAUGACUGGGCGUAAAGGGUGCGUAGGCGGUUUAGCAAGUUGGUAGCGUAAUUCCGGGGCUUAACUCCGGGACUACUACCAAAACUGCUGGGCUUGAGUGCGGCAGGGGUAUGUGGAAUUCCUAGUGUAGCGGUGGAAUGCGUAGAUAUUAGGAGGAACACCAGAGGCGAAGGCGACAUACUGGGCCGUAACUGACGCUGAGGCACGAAAGCGUGGGGAGCAAACAGGAUUAGAAACCCGUGUAGUCC